This is a long non-coding RNA of Zonotrichia leucophrys gambelii, 507 nucleotides long. RefSeq lists it as uncharacterized. The record is from RefSeq and is a predicted model, not a curated record. The transcript is spliced from 3 exons. NCBI's taxonomy places the organism in Eukaryota, Metazoa, Chordata, Aves, Passeriformes, Passerellidae.
GCCACCCCCAGCAGUGAGUGACAGUCUGUCCACAUGGCUGGAGACACCGGGAUGGCCGGGAUGUUGGCACUGCUCCUGUGGGUGUUGCCAUUUCCUGCGUCAACCCAUGAUGACCAAGAUGUCUCUGUGCUCGGGAUGUCCAUGCCAUACCAGUGUUCCCAUGGGGACUGUUUGAGGACAGACGCCUCACCUCAUACCCCGGGUGGUGCUGUCCAUUCAGUCACACCCCCACUGAGCCCUGUCCCUUCUCCCUUCCAGCCCAGACCCUCGGCUUUGCUGGUGCCCAGACCACCCAGCUCCUGGUGGAUCCUCCCUGGAGGCCGGCAGUGCUGUGGGACCAGGUGACACUGACCUGCCAGGGCUCGGGGACCGCGGGUGCCACCACCUGGUACCAGGAUGGGCAGCAUUGGUGGCAGGAGGGACCUGCCAACUUCACUGUCACCGCGAGUGGCAUCUACAGGUGUGACAGACCUGGCACCGGGCUCAGCCCCCCCAUGAGAGUCUUAA